AAAGAUUUAUCGGUUUAUGGAUGGGGAUGCGUCUGAUUAGAUUGUUGGCGGGGGCAACGGCCCACAAAGUCUACGAUCAGUAGGGGUUCUGAGAGGAAGGUCCCCCACAUUGGAACUGAGACACGGUCCAAACUCUUACGGGAGGCAGCAGUGAGGAAUAUUGGUCAAUGGGCGAGAGCCUGAACCAGCCAAGUAGCGUGCAGGAUGACGGCCCUAUGGGUUGUAAACUGCUUUUGUAUGGGGAUAAAGUGCUCCACGUGUGGAGUUUUGUAGGUACCAUACGAAUAAGGACCGGCUAAUUCCGUGCCAGCAGCCGCGGUAAUACGGAAGGUCCGGGCGUUAUCCGGAUUUAUUGGGUUUAAAGGGAGCGUAGGCCGUGGAUUAAGUGUGUUGUGAAAUGUAGGCGCUCAACGUCUGACUUGCAGCGCAUACUGGUCCACUUGAGUGCGCGCAACGCGGGCGGAAUUUGUCGUGUAGCGGUGAAAUGCUUAGAUAUGACGAAGAACCCCGAUUGCGAAGGCAGCUCGCGGGAGCGCAACUGACGCUGAAGCUCGAAAGUGCGGGUAUCGAACAGGAUUAGAUACCCUGGUAGUCCGCACGGUAAACGAUGGAUGCCCGCUUUUCGGUCAUUAGACCGUGAGGCCAAGGAAAA
This 652-nucleotide ribosomal RNA is filed under the name uncultured bacterium. RNAcentral's name for it is "bacterial SSU rRNA". It matches the Rfam family "Bacterial small subunit ribosomal RNA", at positions 202 to 856 of the family's 1533-position model. The record is from RNAcentral.